Long non-coding RNA from Pundamilia nyererei, 955 nucleotides. RefSeq lists it as uncharacterized. The transcript has 3 exons. The record is from RefSeq and is a predicted model, not a curated record. NCBI's taxonomy places the organism in Eukaryota, Metazoa, Chordata, Actinopteri, Cichliformes, Cichlidae.
GACUCGUCACAGGAUGUUCGCCGGCUCUCCCCUUGCAUCUCGCCUGCAUGCUUACCAGGGAGGCUCGCGCUGCUCUCGCUCUAAUCGCACAUCUGCUUCUCUGAGCACACGCUCUCUGUCUCUCUCUUUCUCUCUCCCUCGUGCAAGUGCACACACACUAUCCCUCUUGCGCACAACCUGCCGGACCUGCUCUCUCCUUUGCUCUGUGUAGUCGGCAUUGCUGAGACAAGAGGGGGACAGAAGUACGAGAAGAGAGAGGUGCACUCGCCGCAAAGAUGUUUUUCUUAGUCGCUCCAACAGACAGGAAUCUACUGGCAAGAAGAAAGGCUCGGUCUUCCCCAGGAGAGAGGAGUACAAAGCCCCCAGUCUGCACACAACAGAUGCCGAAAGCUAGUCCAUCUGCCACCAGCUUGCAGUGCCACAUGGGCCAGAGAGAUUUAAUACAAGAGAGGACUUUUAUUUAUUCCUUUGCCUAUGUAUUUGUUCCCCACGUCUCUUCUUCCAGUGCUUUCUGCUGCCAAGGUCAACAGAGACAAACAGGCCCACCAGCGUCUUGAUGUGGUGGCAGAAGAACAGUGAGAGGGGAAAGAGGGAGAAAAUGGGGGAGAUGGAUAGAUAGACAUGUGUAGUGGGUACAGUGGGGAGGGGCGAUGGUGGCAGCAGCUGGUUACCAACCUCGGCAAAAGCAGCAGCAGUGGAGGAGCAGUGGAUCUGAAACGCACUCAAACUCCACACUGAUGAUAGCAAUAAAUGCUUCCCAUCUCCCAGCACUGCUAUAAUUUCCAUAGUUUAUAGGCACACAAACACACCACUACUAUUUUAAUUAAAGCUACACUGGCACUGGGGACAAAGUCAAGUGUGCCUUGAAAAGCACAUGCACUGCUGUAAGGUCAGCUACUAGGAGCCAAUCUUCAGCUAUAAUUUUAUUAACAGGUAUUAGCCUAAAUGUAUUGAA